CAAAAUGUAGCUUAAUCCAAAGCACUCAGCUUACACCUGAAAGAUAUUUUACAUAAAUCAUUUUGA
Non-coding RNA from Ornithorhynchus anatinus (platypus), 66 nucleotides. NCBI's taxonomy places the organism in Eukaryota, Metazoa, Chordata, Mammalia, Monotremata, Ornithorhynchidae. The record is from the annotation of a RefSeq genome assembly.